AUGACGGUAGAUCGGAAGGACGCUGAGGCGGCGGCGGCGGCGGCCGCACCCUUCGAGAUCCCGGCGCUCCAGCCUGGAAGAACUUGUGGAGCAGAGGAAAGUACCCGGAGUCAUGUUCUCGUCAAACCAAUAGGAAGCAGUAAUCUUCCCUGUAAUGAAUAUGCACUCUUGGCGCGGCAAAACCCCAAGGGAGAUGCGCAGCCAGUGGCAUCUAUUCUGCGGAAAAAGCGACCUCGGAGAUCACGUGAUGGGCCUAAUUCAGUCUCUGAAACGAUCAGGCGAUGGAAAGAAGUGAACCAACAACUGGAGCAUGAUCCACAGGGUGCAAAGAGGGCGAGGAAGCCACCUGCAAAGGGUUCAAAGAAGGGCUGUAUGCAGGGGAAAGGAGGACCUGAGAAUACACAAUGUGGAUUCCGUGGUGUAAGGCAACGUACUUGGGGGAAGUGGGUUGCUGAAAUUCGGGAGCCAAAUCGGGUGAGCAGGCUCUGGUUGGGAACGUUCCCCACUGCUGAGGAUGCUGCCCGUGCUUAUGACGAGGCAGCCAGAGCAAUGUAUGGCGCACUGGCUCGUACCAACUUCCCUGUGCAUCCUGCACAAGCUCCUGCUGUGGCUGUAGCAGCGGCAAUUGAAGGUGUUGUACGUGGUGCUUCAGCAUCAUGUGAGUCUACUACAACAUCCACCAACCACUCAGAUGUUGCUUCUUCCUUGCCGCGACAAGCUCAAGCUCUUGAGAUUUACUCCCAGCCAGAUGUGCUUGAGUCCACCGAAUCAGUUGUGCUUACUCCUGUUGAGCAUUACAGCCAUCAAGACAGUGUUCCUGACGCUGGCUCAAGCAUUGCAAGGAGCACAUCCGAAGAGGAUGUGUUUGAGCCAUUGGAGCCUAUUUCCAGUUUGCCGGAUGGGGAAUCUGACGGUUUUGAUAUAGAAGAAUUAUUAAGAUUGAUGGAAGCCGACCCAAUUGAAGUUGAGCCGGUCAACGGGGGCUCCUGGAAUGGGGUGGAGAUUGGCCAGCAGGAACCUCUCUACCUGGAUGGCUUGGACCAAGGCAUGCUGGAGGGCAUGCUGCAGUCUGAUUAUCCUUACCCAAUGUGGAUAUCAGAGGAUCGGGCCAUGCACAACCCUGCCUUCCAUGAUGCUGAGAUGAGCGAGUUCUUCGAAGGGUUGUGA
Molecule: ribosomal RNA, 1167 nt
Filed under: Triticum aestivum (bread wheat)
Lineage: Eukaryota; Viridiplantae; Streptophyta; Magnoliopsida; Poales; Poaceae
Description: partial small subunit ribosomal RNA
Source: RNAcentral